RNAcentral lists this non-coding RNA (28 nucleotides) under Rattus norvegicus (Norway rat). Lineage: Eukaryota; Metazoa; Chordata; Mammalia; Rodentia; Muridae. The record is from RNAcentral.
CAGUUUUGCAAGGAGGUUAGAAACCAAG